This is a long non-coding RNA of Peromyscus maniculatus bairdii (prairie deer mouse), 5743 nucleotides long. RefSeq lists it as uncharacterized. The record is from RefSeq and is a predicted model, not a curated record. NCBI's taxonomy places the organism in Eukaryota, Metazoa, Chordata, Mammalia, Rodentia, Cricetidae.
CCGGAAGCUGACAGCGGAGCCCUGCGCAGCUGUGGGAACCCCAUGGAUAGGUGCCUGUCGAUGGCUGGGCCACGAGAUAACGCCCGGUUCCUGUCACCUUUGGUCUUCUGCUGUGGUUUAUGACACACUGCCUAAUCUGAAAUGACAAAGAAAUUUGACCUGACCCAGGGAGAAGGCAAGGCACCUAAGUGCGGCAGAGGGCAACAAGAAAGUGUUGAAUCCCUGGACUGGAGCUAUGGACAGUUGUGAUCAGUCCAAACGUGGAUGCUAAGGACUCAAACUCUGUCCCACUUGGAAGAGCAGUUUCCAGUAAGCUAGUACCGAAAAUCUCUACAAUAGAGAAUACAUGUAUCUGGAGCCAGGAAGCUGCUGGGAAAGUCCCCACAAACACUCCCCAGCCCAGCUCACAGGGCUGUACUGGACAUAAACAGAUGAUCAAUAACUAGACAUGGUCAGUGAGAAGCAUUGGAAAAUGCACAGUGUUUUCCAGCUGGUGAACUGCAGGCGCCUUGGUGCUCCAGACUGUGCCCUUCAUUUGCAGGCCUCUCUCAAAGUGUUGACCGACACAUUAAGAGCAGAUCCGUUUGGUUAGAAAGAGCCACGUCUUGGAUUGGUUUAGCUGGUUAGUGUUUUGUGGAAUUGGAGAUGAGACUCCGGCUCUCGCACAUGCAAAGCACGUGCAUUGCUACUGAGCUGCCCCCUGGCACAAGAAGCAUGAAUUGACUGUCAAGUGGACUAGACACAUGAAUGGCCUCUUCAGGAAGGUCAUGGCCUCUCCCUUGAGAACUUCAAGGACCCAAAGAACAAGCAUUUGUCCAGGAUGGUGUGAUUGUCCAUCUGCCUGGAUUCAGGGACUGUGUGCGUGUGUACCACUGGAACAGUGAGACACCAUGAGGCCUCUGAUGGAAAACAACCACAUGACACACAGGGAGCUAUCAAGUCCUAUCACCAGUGGACGGGACCUUUUAAAACAGAAAAGAAGGCGAGAGCCACUGUGGACCACCUCCUCUAUCUCUCAGGAUUUUACUUCAUCCUGAUUCUUCCAGCAUCUUCUGUCAUAGCCUACUGGUGGUCAAGCCAAUGCUGUCAUCUUUUAAAUUGUUAUAAAGUCUUUACAUUGAGAAAAGGGGCCCCCAUCUGAGAAAAACAAGUGAAAGGUGAAGGGAGGAGAGGACCAAAAGGGAGUCCCAUCAUAGGAGACUGUUUGGAAGGAGUCUGGUGGAAGAUCCGCCUCAACUCCCCUCCCCUAUCUCUUUCCCUAAAACCCUUUUAAAGUCCUCCAAACACAGCUCUGCCCCCAGAGAGGCUCAAGACCACUCCCACAGGGUAUAAAAGCUGCAUCCCAGAGAACAGACACGUGGUUCUUCCUGCCAAGAAGCCCCAUCUCCUCUCUGAGGGGCCGGGAAAUCACCGGGGAACGCUUUACCCAUUAAACCUGGGCUUUUCCUGAUUCGGUCUGAUUUCCUGCGUCAGCAGAGAGGCCUUCAGGGUGCAAAAGACUUAUCAGAGGCGUCUUAGUUAGGGUUCCUAUUGCUGUGAUAAAAACCGGUGACUUGGGGAGGAAAGAGCUUUCCUCCUACACUGUCACAUCACAGCCCAUCGUCAAGUGAAGUCAGAGCAGCAACCCAAGCAAGGCAUCUGGAGGCGGGCACUGAAGCUGAGGCCGGGGACUGCCCUGCUCCUCAGGACUUGCUGAGUCUACUUUCCUACACAACCCAGGACCACCUGCCCAGGACCAUUACCCACCUGUCGGCUGGACUCUCCCCCAUCAGUCAUUCAGUGACUCGCCUACAGGCAAGUCACUGAUGGAGGCGUUUUCUCAACUGAAGUUCUUCUUCCCAAAUAACUAGAACUUGUGUCAAGUAAACAUCCUACUCAUUUGUUUUGUGACUAUGACAAUGGGUUUUGGGUGUGAUAGUUUCUGACCUGGCAGGAAAACUUGAGAUUUCUGCAUUUACAUAUUUUAAAUUGUUUUGAUAGGGUUUUAUUUUUUUCAUAAGUUAUUUCUAACUCUUCAUCAUUUGGAUUACCUGGGCUCACAUGAAGUCAGUCAGAGCCACACUGUACUGAAUUACCAUGGCAGUUUAGUUGUGGCUGGCAGUUUUCUACUGUUCUUGGGGCUGCGACGGCUUUUUUUCCCGUUUGCUGCCAAAAUCUGUGUCAUUAGAGCUGAUGUGGCUAGAACAGCAGGAGUGAAUUGUUCGUUUACUAAUUUUCAUCCUCAUUUAAAAAUGUCUCUUGUCAGGCUGGAGCGGUGGCUCAGCAGUUCAGAAUACUUGCUGCUCUUGCAAAGGACCCAGGUUCAGUUCCCAGUGUCCACAUCAGGCAGCCCACAACUGCCUGUAACUUGAAAUCCAGGGGUUAUGACACCCUCGUUUGGCCUCCACAGACACUUGCAUGUACAUGGUACAUAUUCAUACACCCAGGUAUUUAUAGGACAUAUAAAAUAAAAACAAACCUUUUUUAAAGUUUAAUGUUAAAAAUACUUCAAAUAAGCACGAUUGAUUAAAACAAUUAAGGAGAUCCUCAUUGUCUCUAUCCAUACUUGAAGCCUGGAUCUGUGAGUAUAAUGGUAGAGACUUCACCAAAGGCCUCCACACAGCUCCCCAGCAAAGGCUUCGGGGCAGGAUAGAGAUGGGACCAGCCCUUCUGCCACAUCCAGGCAUCCACUGGAAAUCAACAUCUGGCACAUCCUAAAAAACACAAACUGAGGUUCCUGCUCACAUCUGGUGUCUGUGCUUCACUUUGAGCUCAGGAGCUCACACUGGUUCUCAGAUUCUCAACUGUGACAGUGUAGUGCCCUCUAGAUGCAAGGACUCCAAACCAACAUGCCUGAAGGGCUGCUCCCAAGGCUCACCUGAGGAGCCUUAGAGACCACCCUCCAGGCUCCAGGGAAAGGCUGUGUGCCUGCACACUGACACCAGCCAGAUGCAUCUGAAUCUGCAGUUCAGUGAGGCAUUCUAGAAGGCAGUGGGAUGUGGAGCAAGCCUGUAAAGGGAGUCUUGGUUUCUAUGUGCUAAAUCUAAUGCCAGGGCUCAGCUCACAGCCCAUUUGUUGAUAAACACUUGAAUAUCAGAAUAUUCCAAGUCCUUUUGAACAAAGCACAGAUGGUGGAUCUUCCCAUCCUGACCCCUUCUGGUUCAUCAGAGGUAAAACGAGAUCAAUCCUAGGAUGUUUGGGUUUUGAAGUUCUUCUGGGAAUUCCACAGGGUCCUCCAGCUGGAAGUGCACCCAGGAGCUGGAAAUGUUGCUUCCACCCUGUUGCAAUGAACAAAAUUUCAUCUGCGUUCUCAACAUUUCCACACUGCAAAAUGCAAAGAACUAUUUGGAGAGCCUUGCAUCUUUCAUAACUCUUGUCAAGUGAGGAACGUGUCUCUCACACCCUGCAGAAACAAGGCUCCUGCCUUCAGAUCCCGCUGCUAAGUGUCCAGAGCCUCUCUCUGAAGGAAAAUCUGUGGACACCACUUCCUCAUAAGACAAGUGAAAAAAUCAGGAGCUCUGUUCCCAUAGUCUCUCCAGGAACCCCGUCAGCGAUGGUGGGUGACAGCCUUUUCUGUCACUCCUGCAAAGUUUAUUCAGCUCUCCCCUUCCUUCUGAGCUAGACCACUGCAUCAUUCCUCUGAUGGCCUUGCUUGUGUGAAUGCCCUUAGCAUUUCUUCCACAUCUUGCUAAUUUGGCACUCCUGCAGAGUCUGGAAGUGAGCAAAGCCUUUCUCAGUGGUAUGGGAAGCCCUAAAGAAUAUUUGUUCUGUUCUUUAUUCCUGAAACUCCCUCCUCUCAUCUCUCUUCUCAGAGAAGACUCUCAGUAGCCAUGAACUGGCUCACAGGAACUUCCCAGACCUUUACCAUUCUUAACCGGAAAAGGAAACGUGGGAUUUCCAAACAGCAAAUGUUUCUGAGAAAUUGGCAUUUCUGUUCUGAAAGAGAACUAUUCCUUCAGUUAGCUAAGGCGGUCUACUAUAUGUAUGAACUAUUUUUGUGGCUACUACUAUUAUUUUUAUUGAAGUUUUCUUUUUAAGUUUUUCUUUAUUUUUAAUGAUCUGAUGCACGUAUGUAUUGAGUUAUGAUCAUAUCUACCCCAUCAUCCCCCUCAAGCUCCCCUUAUCUCUCUCAACACCUCUCAAGUUAAUAUCCUAUCUCUUCCCUUGAUAACUCAUCAAGUGCAGUUAGUGUUGCCCUUAUGUGUGUGGAUGGAUGUAGGACCAUCCACUGGACAUGGGAAACCUACCAGUGACCACACCUGGAAAAAACAAAACAAAAAAAAAAAAAACCUGUCUUUCCCCCAGCAACAGUUUCCUGCCAACAGCUCCUCAGUAAGAGGUGAGGCCUGGAAAUCUAUCCCUUCUCUGCUGGGGUUUGGCUGGUUUGACCUUGGACAGGCAACCACAGUUGCUAUGAGCUUGUGAGAGCCAUAGCUGUGUCUGGUCUAGAAGACAGCAUUUCACAGUACUCCUCCCCGUCCUCCAGCUCUUGAAUUCUCCCCACCUUCUCUUCUGUGAAGUUCUCUGUGCCUUCGUGGGUGUGGGUGUUCAUGUAGAUGUCCAGUGUAGGGCUGAGCACCCAGUCUCUUGUUCUCAGCACGUCAAACAAUUGAGAGUCUCUGCACCAGCUGCUGCCCACUGCAGAGUGAAGCUUCUCUAACCAACUCCGAGAACAACCCAAGUCUGAUAGCGCCAGGAGCUGGAGGCAUUUAUUAGGCUUUUGAGACAGGAUCUCGUGUAGCCCAGGCUGGCCUCCAACUUCUACAUCGCUGAUAAUGACCUUCAACUCCUGGUCCUCCUGCCUGUAUUUCCAAAACACUGGGAACACGGGUGUGUGCACCACUCUCCCUUGUGAUCAUUAUUAAAUAAGACUCAGACAUAAAUGUUAGGCAACUUCUACCAACCUUGGAGCGACAAGCACAUAUUCCCUAAAGAUGUGUCCUGGGAGGAAGCUUGGUUUACUAGAGAAAAAGUGAUCUCUUCAAACCUGUUCUUUCUCACCAAGGGUGGGUUCCAUAACUCUGGCUCUAUGGGCUGUGGGAGUUUAUGCAUCGUCCAAAGGGCUUAGGAGACCCAGAGUCCAGUCUGCUCAUCACUGCUCUUUUUGUGCAUUGGCCAUUUGUAUUUGGUCACGUUACUUAGACCCUUCCCAUACAUGGUUUCCUUAUGUAUAUAAAGUUAAUGGCUGCCUCCUUGCAGGGUUACUAGAUGAGCCAGUACAACGAAAAGCAAGCAGGAGAUUAAGUGGGCUGGUGGUCUCUCAGUGAGCAUAAGUUGUGGCUACGGUUCUUCCUGGAGAAGCAUCUGGGGCAUUGGUAAACCUUGUUCUAGCUCUACCAGGUAUUGCUUUGUGACUUCGGAAAGACACAUUCCAGCUCUUGGUUUCUUCAUGUAUAACAUUAAAAUACUGAAGCUGGGAAGAUAGUGCCAUUGGCAAAACACUUGCCACAAAAGCAUGAGGACCUUCAUUUGAUGACUAGGACCUACUUAUAGGCUUGUAAUCUCACUGCUGGGGGAGGAGAAGCAGGAGGGUCCGGGGGCCUUGCUGGCCAACCAGCUUAGUGUAGUUGGCAAAUACUAGGUCCCCAUCAGAGACCCUGUCUCAAAACAAUCAGGUAGCCAGCUCCUAAGAAAUACCUCUGAGGGUGCUGCUGCACACACACACACACACACACACACACACACACACACACAGCAACACACCCACGGCAACACACCCACUUACACAUUUUCAAAAAAAAAUUGAGGGCCAGCUAUGGUGAAC